UUUCUUGACGACCAUAGAGCAUUGGAACCACCUGAUCCCAUCCCGAACUCAGCAGUGAAACGAUGCAUCGCCGAUGGUAGUGUGGGGUUUCCCCAUGUGAGAGUAGGUCAUCGUCAAGAUUC
This 122-nucleotide ribosomal RNA is filed under the name Pseudomonas putida. Lineage: Bacteria; Pseudomonadati; Pseudomonadota; Gammaproteobacteria; Pseudomonadales; Pseudomonadaceae. The record is from RNAcentral. RNAcentral also lists the same sequence under 2 other names.